This is a long non-coding RNA of Jatropha curcas, 629 nucleotides long. RefSeq lists it as uncharacterized. NCBI's taxonomy places the organism in Eukaryota, Viridiplantae, Streptophyta, Magnoliopsida, Malpighiales, Euphorbiaceae. The record is from RefSeq and is a predicted model, not a curated record.
GUCACCAUUUGACACCAUAGUGAUACGUGAGAUGCCACGUCGAAUGCCUUUUCUCCCAAAAUAAGCCAGCCAGCCACUUCCUCAAUAUUUUAGUUUUCUUCCCAUUUCGCAAUAUUUUUCCUUGACAGUUGAAAUAAACCCACUCUCUCUCACCGUACCCAACAAAAUCUGCUUCAUCUGAAUCACGAGGAGGGAAGGAGGAGUGAAAGCCAAAAAUGGGUUAUGUAAUUGUGGUUUCAUUGCCAUUGAUAUUAUUCAUCUUAAUAGUGGCACUUGCUUGUUACCUUGUGGGUCGAAAUUUAGGCAGAAGAGAAGCAGCUCGAUUGCCUCAGUAUUAUGGCCCCCCUGCACCUCCUCUUCAACCUCAAUCUUCACCGGGGAACAAACCAUCUCAAUCUAAUUAGUAUUGUAUUUCUAUAAACAUGUUCCUUUUUCCUUUUUAGUAUUUCUUUCUGUUUCCAAAUGAUUAUGUUUUGCAUUUGCUUCCACUGUAAAAUGUGUUUCUUUCUGUAACUUCAAUGAUAGAUUGUUGUGCAAAGACUGUGCAACUAUGCAGUGUGCUUCAUUUUUGUGGUGUAGAAAAUUAAUGGAGGAUUUAAUAAAAUUAACUCAAUUUGGCUUACUGUUAA